UACGGGAGGCAGCAGUGGGGAAUAUUGCACAAUGGGCGAAAGCCUGAUGCAGCUAUGCCGCGUGUAUGAAGAAGGCCUUAGGGUUGUAAAGUACUUUCAUCGGGGAGGAAAAAACAAAACUAAUAAUUUUAUUUCUUGACGUUACCCGAAAAAGAAGCACCGGCUAACUCCGUGCCAGCAGCCGCGGUAAUACGGAGGGUGCUAGCGUUAAUCAGAAUUACUGGGCGUAAAGAGCACGUAGGUGGUUUUUUUAAAGUCAGAUGUGAAUCCCUGGGCUUAACCUGGAACUGCAUUUUGAAACUGAAAUACUAGAGUAUCGUAGAGGGAGGUAGAAUUCUAGGUGUAGCGGUGAAAUGCGUAGAUAUCUGGAGGAAUACCUGUGGCGAAAGCGGCCUCCUAAACGAAUACUGACACUGAGGUGCGAAAGCGUGGGGAGCGAAACAGGGAUUAGAU
RNAcentral lists this ribosomal RNA (453 nucleotides) under uncultured bacterium. RNAcentral's name for it is "bacterial SSU rRNA". It matches the Rfam family "Bacterial small subunit ribosomal RNA", at positions 340 to 783 of the family's 1533-position model. The record is from RNAcentral.